This 161-nucleotide non-coding RNA is filed under the name uncultured Acetatifactor sp. Lineage: Bacteria; Bacillati; Bacillota; Clostridia; Lachnospirales; Lachnospiraceae. The record is from RNAcentral.
AGCGAAGAAUGCUAUGUUUUUCUUAAUACUUUGUCUGUACCCAGAGAGCGUUCGACACGAUGUCGAACGCAGUCGCCACUGAGCCAGGACGGCGAAUUGGCGACGGUCUCGUGCGAUAACGACUGCUGAAAUCAAAGUAUUUAGAAAAACAAGCAUUUGUA